RNAcentral lists this ribosomal RNA (594 nucleotides) under uncultured bacterium. RNAcentral's name for it is "bacterial SSU rRNA". The stretch from base 1 to 521 matches the Rfam family "Bacterial small subunit ribosomal RNA", at positions 338 to 873 of the family's 1533-position model. The record is from RNAcentral.
CCUAUGGGAGGCAGCAGUGGGGAAUCUUGCGCAAUGGGCGAAAGCCUGACGCAGCAACGCCGCGUGCGGGAAGAAGGCCCUAGGGUUGUAAACCGCUUUCAGUAGGAACGAAAAUGACGGUACCUGCAGAAGAAGGUGCGGCCAACUACGUGCCAGCAGCCGCGGUGACACGUAGGCACCAAGCGUUGUCCGGAUUUAUUGGGCGUAAAGAGCUCGUAGGCGGUUCAGUAAGUCGGGUGUGAAAACUCUGGGCUUAACCCAGAGCCGCCACUCGAUACUGCUGUGACUUGAGUUCGGUAGGGGAGCGGGGAAUUCCUAGUGUAGCGGUGAAAUGCGCAGAUAUUAGGAGGAACACCGGUGGCGAAGGCGCCGCUCUGGGCCGAUACUGACGCUGAGGAGCGAAAGCGUGGGUAGCAAACAGGAUUAGAUACCCUGGUAGUCCACGCCGUAAACGUUGGGCACUAGGUGUGGGUUCCAACCAACGGAAUCCGCGCCGUCGCUAACGCAUUAAGUGCCCCGCCUGGGGNGUACGGCGCGACGACAACUACAAUAGAUAGACGGCGNGAGACGCGACGACGACGACGACGAGGAGAG